GAUCUUUUACAUUUUAUUAAAUUUUUAAAUAGAUUUAAAAUUGUAAAGGGAGUAAUACGCUUUAGUUUUUCUUUUUAGCUAGUUUUAUUCGUUGCCACAGGGUAAGCCUGUUGUUAGUUGUUUAUUUUUUUUUUAUUUCAUUAACCCUUAAAAGUAGGGCUCUGUGUAAUAACUUUUUGUUUUUAAAUACAACUCUUUAUUAGUUUUAUUAUUUAAAUUAAUUAUUAGAUUAGUAGAUUUUUAUUUUCUUAUUAAAUUUUUUUCUUUUGUUUUUUAAAGUUAUUUAUGUUUUACUGAUUUAACUUUAGACUGGUUAAUAAAACCUUAGCUAUAAUUUUUAUAGUUAUUUCUGCCCUAUGUUAUUGAAAUAAAUGGCUGUGGUUUUCACACUAAGGUAGCGAAAUCAUUAGUUAUUUAAUUGGUAACUCGUAUGAAUGAAACGCCUAAAGUAAUAUUAUAUUUUUUCUUUGAACUUAUAUUUUUGUUGAAAAUAACAAAAAGGCCCCUAAGACUAAAAGACCCUAAAAUUUUUAUAACUAUUGUUGUUAGGUUAUUUGGUUGGGGCAAUAAGAUUUAUUAAAUAAAUCUAUUUUAUUUUGUUUGAGAACUUGAAAGUUUAGAGAAAUAAAUAAAAUACUUUAGGGAUAACAGCUUUAUUGCUUUUUUAAGGCCUUAUUAAUGAAGUAGUUUGGGACCUCGAUGUUGGAUUGGAAAAACUUUUAGGCG
Molecule: ribosomal RNA, 726 nt
Filed under: Proctophyllodes stylifer
Lineage: Eukaryota; Metazoa; Arthropoda; Arachnida; Sarcoptiformes; Proctophyllodidae
Description: partial large subunit ribosomal RNA
Source: RNAcentral